RNAcentral lists this ribosomal RNA (297 nucleotides) under Williamsia sp. RNAcentral's name for it is "partial 16S ribosomal RNA". It matches the Rfam family "Bacterial small subunit ribosomal RNA", at positions 196 to 508 of the family's 1533-position model. The record is from RNAcentral. Lineage: Bacteria; Bacillati; Actinomycetota; Actinomycetes; Mycobacteriales; Nocardiaceae.
UUGGUGGAAACUUUUUGGGUACGAGAUGGGCCCGCGGCCUAUCAGCUUGUUGGUGGGGUAAUGGCCUACCAAGGCGACGACGGGUAGCCGGCCUGAGAGGGCGACCGGCCACACUGGGACUGAGACACGGCCCAGACUCCUACGGGAGGCAGCAGUGGGGAAUAUUGCACAAUGGGCGCAAGCCUGAUGCAGCGACGCCGCGUGAGGGAUGACGGCCUUCGGGUUGUAAACCUCUUUCACCAGGGACGAAGAGUGAUUGACGGUACCUGGAGAAGAAGCACCGGCCAACUCACGUGC